ACCCCGGGACCUUUACUAUACCUUGGUAUUGGCAUUAGGCGCGGAUUGUGUAGCAUAGGCGGGAGGCUUCGAGGCGGGUGCGCCAGCAUCCGCGGAGCCGCAAGGUGAAAUACCGCUCUGUUCUCGUUUGAUGUCUAACCUCGAACAGUCAUCCUGUUCAGGGACAGUGCCUGGCGGGUAGUUCAACUGGGGCGGUUGCCUCCCAAAGAGUAACGGAGGCGCUCAAAGGUCCGCUCGGCCCGGUUGGCAAUCGGGUGUCGAGUGUAAUCGCACAAGCGGGCUUGACUGCGAGAUCGACGGAUCGAGCAGGGACGAAAGUCGGAGAUAGUGAUCCGGUGCCGGCGCACGGGCGCGGCAUCGCUCAACGGAUAAAAGGUACCCCGGGGAUAACAGGCUGAUCAUUCCCAAGAGUCCAUAUCGACGGGAUGGUUUGGCACCUCGAUGUCGGCUCGUCGCAUCCUGGGGCUGGAGCAGGUCCCAAGGGUUCGGCUGUUCGCCGAUUAAAGCGGCACGCGAGCUGGGUUCAGAACGUCGUGAGACAGUUUGGUCUCUAUCCUCUGCGCUCGUUGGAAUCUUGAGGAGGCCUGCCCAUAGUACGAGAGGACCUGGGUGGACGAACCUCUGGUAUGCCGGUCGUCACGCCAGUGGCGCGGCCGGUUGGCUACGUUCGGAAGGGAUAACCGCUGAAAGCAUCUAAGCGGGAAGCCUUCUCCAAGAUAAGGAUUCCAUGCGGCCCCGAGCCGCUGAAGACCCCAUGCAGAACACGUGGUUGAUAGGCCGGACGUGGAAGCCCCGCGAGGGGUGGAGCCGACCGGUACUAAUGGUCGAGAGGCAACCCACA
RNAcentral lists this ribosomal RNA (841 nucleotides) under human gut metagenome. RNAcentral describes it as "bacterial LSU rRNA". It matches the Rfam family "Bacterial large subunit ribosomal RNA", at positions 2088 to 2925 of the family's 2925-position model. The record is from RNAcentral.